Papaver somniferum (opium poppy) is the source of this 833-nucleotide long non-coding RNA. RefSeq lists it as uncharacterized. The record is from RefSeq and is a predicted model, not a curated record. The transcript is spliced from 3 exons. Lineage: Eukaryota; Viridiplantae; Streptophyta; Magnoliopsida; Ranunculales; Papaveraceae.
CCGAAUACCAUCCACGCACUUUAAAGAGGAUUAUGUUGUUGGUAUUCAACGAUUAGGAUGAACCUCCACUACUGUUCAUCAAUUGAGAAAAUACACAAAUCAAUAACUUCAAUCGGCUUAAUACCAUCAAAUUUUUUCAAUCCGGAAGAAAACUGAGAUGUUUGUCUUCAUUUUAAAUCGAUUCCUUAAAAUUCUAAUGGGUAAAUUGAAUUGCAGCUUAGUGGAUUUCUAUUUUAAGUGUUUUGAACCUUUUGAUAAUCCAAUGGAGGUUGGAAUACAGGGACGAUGAUGAUUUAAAAAGCCCAGGUCAUCAUCUUAUCAAGUCUUGUCUUCCAUUAAGUUGCAGAUGAGCCAUUCAUUUUUGAUCGGCGAUGCAUUUAUUUUUCUGGUAUCCAAAGGUCAUCAUCUUAUCAAGUCUUGUCUUCCAUUAAGUUGCAGAUGAGCCAUUCAUUUUUUGACAACCUAUGAUGUCACUGUUUUAUGCAGUUGGUUAGGACACCCUGUUGGCGACUAUUCCUCCAAGUGUAGCGUAAUCUCUGCGUUAUGGCGACAUUUUUGCAUAGCCUUCCAAAGUUGAACUUAUAAGGUUUCCAGGAUUUCCAUUUUUUUUAUGGAUUGAACAUCUCAUAGAGUUCAACAGGGGUGUUAGUCUGCAAUAGCUUGUCUUCUUACUCAUUGCUUGACAAUAGCACCCUGUAUUGCUACUUCUGCCUCUCAUACUUUUGUAUUACUCCAGCAUUCAUAAACUUACAUCAUUGUAUGUUUCUUAAGAACAAAAUAUAAAAAGAAGAUAUCCAUAAGUAAGCAUGCGACUAUAAAAAAAGAAACAAAAA